GUGGAUAGCUCAGUCAAUAGAGCAUGAGACUCUUAAUCUCAAGGUCGUGGGUUCGAGCCCCACGCUGGGCA
Podarcis lilfordi (Lilford's wall lizard) is the source of this 71-nucleotide non-coding RNA. The record is from the annotation of a GenBank genome assembly. NCBI's taxonomy places the organism in Eukaryota, Metazoa, Chordata, Lepidosauria, Squamata, Lacertidae.